RNAcentral lists this ribosomal RNA (468 nucleotides) under uncultured bacterium. RNAcentral describes it as "partial 16S ribosomal RNA". It matches the Rfam family "Bacterial small subunit ribosomal RNA", at positions 28 to 507 of the family's 1533-position model. The record is from RNAcentral.
GACGAACGCUGGCGGCGUGCUUAACACAUGCAAGUCGAACGGAAAGGCCCUGCUAUUGUGGGGUGCUCGAGUGGCGAACGGGUGAGUAACACGUGAGUAACCUGCCCUUGACUUUGGGAUAACUUCAGGAAACUGGGGCUAAUACCGGAUAGGAGCUCCUGCUGCAUGGUGAGGGUUGGAAAGUUUGUGCGGUUGGGGAUGGACUCGCGGCUUAUCAGCUUGUUGGUGGGGGAGGGGCAUACCAAGUCUUUGACGGGUAGCCGGCCUGAGAGGGUGACCGGCCACCAUGGGACUGAGAUACGCCCCAGACUCCUACGGUAGGCAGUAGUGGGGGAUAUUGCACAAUGGGCGCAAGCCUGAUGCAGCAACGCCGCGGGUGGGAUGACGGCUUGCGGGUUGUAAACCGCUGUCGCCUGUGACGAAGCGUGAGUGACGGUAAUGGGUAAAGAAGCACCGGCUAACUACGUG